UACCCUAUAAUUUUAUUAAUUUAUAACUCUGACUACAUAUCAUUUGUUUCCAUAAUUAACUUUACUAAGCAGGCAUGACAAACUGCAUCCAUCCGUAUCCGUUUGAAGAAUUUGGAUCAUCUCCAGUCCAUUAUUUCCUGUUAUCUGUGCUAUCAUCAUCUCAACCGUUCAUUCAUAUUCUCUCUUUCUCUAAAUUUAUUUCUUUUAAUUUAGUUAUUUAUCAACCACCGGAUCAAGAGUGUGAGAGAUGGCUGAAUGGAAGGAGCGGGAGAUGAUCCAAUUCCCCAUUUGAAUCCAUGCCAACUUUGACAGAAAAAAUGCUUGGAUUGGUUACAUAUUCGAGUUUUUCUUAAUAUUCAAAUUCAAUGGUUAUUAUAGUUGUUGGCAUCCCCCCUGUCAAGAAAAAUAUACAUUUUAUUAUGGUUUAGUAAUUAUUAUUUCAUUUUUAUUUUAUACAUAUGGUGAAAGCGGGAAAAUAAGGAAAAAUAUAACUUUUUUUUUAAGGAAAAAAUAUAACAUAUUAUAAGCUAGCAAAAUAUAAAAAAAUUCUUCUAUAUUAAAGAUGGAUAAAAUCAACAAAGUGAAGAGUAUAUGAUAUUGAGAGAGAGGAAGAUAAGAAAAAAAAUUAAUUUGAAUAUUAGUGGUUGUUCGGUUGGCUUCAAUUAUGAAAAGAUAGAAUU
RNAcentral lists this long non-coding RNA (680 nucleotides) under Trifolium pratense (red clover). RNAcentral's name for it is "long non-coding RNA (TPRA_LNC009248)". The record is from RNAcentral. Lineage: Eukaryota; Viridiplantae; Streptophyta; Magnoliopsida; Fabales; Fabaceae.